Molecule: ribosomal RNA, 407 nt
Filed under: Kumbadjena karricola
Lineage: Eukaryota; Metazoa; Onychophora; Udeonychophora; Euonychophora; Peripatopsidae
Description: partial 12S ribosomal RNA
Source: RNAcentral
AUAUAUAUAUGUAUAUAAAGGGGUGAAAUCUUUUAAUUAUAAUAUUAUUUAUUUUUUUUUCUACAUAAUCUUAAGAAAUAAACUAGGAUUAGAUACCCUAUUAUCCUUAAGAAUUUUAAGAAUCUGAAGUAGUAAAAAUUGAAACUUAAAAAUUUUGGCAGUAUUCAAUUUUUUAGAGAAAUAUGUAAUUUAAUCGAAAAUACACGAAAAUCUUACUUAUUUUCAUUUUGUAUAUCUCCGUUGACAGAUUUUUAUAAAAAUCAAAAUAAUUUUCUAAAAAUAAAAUAUGAAACAUCAGGUCAAGGUGCAGAAUAAAUAAGUUAUUAUGUAUUACAUUCAAGUUUAUUGAGAUGGAUAAAUAAUUGAAAUAUUAUUUUAAAAAUGAAUUUAUAAGUAAAAUAAAAUAA